UACGUAGGGGGCAAGCGUUGUCCGGAAUCGUUGGGCGUAAAGCGCGUGUAGGCGGCCCGAUAAGUCCGCUGUGAAAGCCCAGGGCUCAACCCUGGGAUGCCGGUGGAUACUGUCGGGCUCGAGUCCGGAAGAGGCGAGUGGAAUUCCUGGUGUAGCGGUGAAAUGCGCAGAUAUCGGGAGGAACACCAAUGGCGAAGGCAGCUCGCUGGACGGUACUGACGCUGAGACGCGAAAGCGUGGGGAGCAAACAGG
Molecule: ribosomal RNA, 252 nt
Filed under: uncultured bacterium
Lineage: Bacteria
Description: partial 16S ribosomal RNA
Rfam family: Bacterial small subunit ribosomal RNA
Source: RNAcentral